This 397-nucleotide ribosomal RNA is filed under the name uncultured bacterium. RNAcentral's name for it is "partial 16S ribosomal RNA". It matches the Rfam family "Bacterial small subunit ribosomal RNA", at positions 523 to 918 of the family's 1533-position model. The record is from RNAcentral.
AUACGUAGGUGACAAGCGUUAUCCGGAUUUACUGGGUGUAAAGGGCGUGUAGGCGGUUUAGCAAGUCAGAAGUGAAAUUCCCGGGCUUAACUUGGGCGCUGCUUCUGAAACUGCUUUACUUGAGUGCUGGAGAGGAUAGUGGAAUUCCUAGUGUAGCGGUAAAAUGCGCAGAUAUUAGGAGGAACACCGGUGGCGAAGGCGGCUAUCUGGACAGUAACUGACGCUGAGGCGCGAAAGCACGGGGAGCAAACAGGAUUAGAUACCCUGGUAGUCCGUGCCGUAAACGAUGAAUACUAGGUGUAGGGGGUAUCGACUCCCUCUGUGCCGCAGUUAACACAUUAAGUAUUCCACCUGGGGAGUGCGGCCGCAAGGUUGAAACUCAAAUGAAUUGACGGGG